This 73-nucleotide transfer RNA is filed under the name Candidatus Pacearchaeota archaeon. RNAcentral describes it as "tRNA-Ile". It matches the Rfam family "tRNA". From Rfam's summary of the family: Transfer RNA (tRNA) molecules are approximately 80 nucleotides in length. The record is from RNAcentral. Lineage: Archaea; Nanobdellati.
GCGCCUGUAGCUCAACGGUGAGAGCAGCCGUCUUAUAAGCGGCAGGUUCCUGGUUCGAAUCCAGGCAGGCGCA